GCUCACAGAAAUCUUCAUCACGCUAUCCUUCCUGUUCUUCUCUCUCAAACAAGCGGAAAAAUUAGGCGGGAUUUUGAGAGAAAAGAGAGGAGUCCUAUUUAGGAUUCUUCUCAACCCAAAAGAGAUGGACAACAAUAUAAACUCAUCAGAACAUCAACUUCUCUGUUCAAUCUUCAUCUCGAAGGUUCUUUCUCCUUAACUGACGUUGCUGAUUGAAGGUGUUUCAAACACAUCCACCAAAACGAUGACAUUUCAAGCUCUACAAGUCAAGGCUUCCUCUACCCCUGCUGAAUUGAAAAGAAAGCGUGGAAAAACUAUUGGAAAAUGUAUAAUUCAAAUGAUUGCUAGGAAUGGCAACGAGAAGAUGGAGAUAAUAUUUGACCGGAUGCAUUGGGUCCCUAUUACUAAAUACAUGUAUAGUAAGUUCACUACCUCUAUAGGAAUUCAGGUUCGAAGUCAAGCUCCGGUAUGUUACUGUGGGUGGAAUAAGAUUCCAACAGAUAUUAAGAAGACAUUGAGAGAGGGAUUAACAGUAAGUUAAUUAUUUUUUUCAACAAAUAUUUAGUCUUGCAUUUUGUAUUUUCGACAACUAUGCUGAUUUGACAUAUCUUUAUAAAGA
Long non-coding RNA from Rosa rugosa (rugosa rose), 619 nucleotides. RefSeq lists it as uncharacterized. NCBI's taxonomy places the organism in Eukaryota, Viridiplantae, Streptophyta, Magnoliopsida, Rosales, Rosaceae. The record is from RefSeq and is a predicted model, not a curated record. The transcript is spliced from 4 exons.